AUGUCUGCUUCCCCCGGUCCGGUGGCCUCCUGGGUAACCCUGUCUCCCUACUUCAACUCUUGCCUCGGAUGCAUUGGCCAUUUAGUGCUAAGAAGGCUUACUAAUUCUUCAGUAUUGUUUAUGGGGGUGGGUAGGGGCCCCCAAAUUAUGUUGCAGAGGUCAAGAACCCUGGCCGGGCUCAGAGAGACCACCGGCUGGAUUCAGAAUACAACUGGAGAUGCAGAGCCUCCGGGUGCGCCACCUGCACAGCCCAAAGCGUGGAGCAGCAAGAGCUCCGGUCUGUCCCUGAGGGCACCUCCGCUCCGGCAGCACAGAUGCACGGGGAAGACUGCCCGGCCGAGCCAGGCAGGGAAGCAGGCGGAUGCCCCCGUCUCUGUCUCCCAGCCCGUCCAUGCCAAUCCAGCACGCCCGCCUCCCUAGGGCGCACCUGGUCUCCCACACUACACAGGAGACGCCGUGAGGUCAGGUGCCUGUGGGGAUGGGGAAGGGGGAAGUGUCUUCAAGCUCGGUGUCUCCCCCAAAGCUGUCUUUAGCAAGACAGAAGUGCCGAUCUCAACCUUGUUUCUAGAAGUUACUAUGCCACCCUUCAGAUGGCACUGUUGCACAGCCCCCAGAGGGCUGACCUUUGAUGGCCCGUCCCCAGCUGCGCUCCGCCAGUUUCCCGCAUCUGCCUCUCUCAGGUCCCUCCUGGCUUUGCUCACCGCCUCGCCCUGCGUGGGGUGGCACCGAGGUCGCCUGUCUUCGCCUGCCUCACCUGUGGGACCCGGCGGCCCUCCCCUUGCCCUCUGUGGACACCCAGUCCCGGGCAGCUUCUCUCCUAUGGGGUGACUGCACGACGCAUUCUCAUUCUCCCACUAAGUGCAGCCUGCUCUUGGUCUUAGCCUCUGCUUUGAAUUACCGCAGGAGGCUGGGGGUGGAGACCGGGACUUAGAAUGAAAACGGGGGACACAGUUCUGUACGGCCAUAAGAAGUAAAGCCGCCGCCUGCAGUGCCGGCAUCCCACAGGGGCGCCGGUUCCAGUCCCGGCUGCUCCACUUCCCAUCCAGCUCUCUGCUAUGGCCUGGGAAGGCAGUGGAAGAUGGCCCAAGUCCUUUGGACCCCUGCACCUGCGUGGGAGACCCGGAUGGAGCUCCUGGUUCCUGGCUUCUUAUCGGCGCAGCUCCGGCCGUUGCGGCCAUCUGGGGAGUGAACCAUGGGAUGGAAGACCUCUCUGUGUCUCUAACUCUGCCUGUCAAAUCUUUUUUUUUUUUUUUUUUUUUGACAGGCAGAGUUAGAGAGAGAGAGAGAGAGACUAGAACCCGGGGUGCCGGCGCCGCAGGCGGAUUAGCCUAGUGAGCCACGGCGCCGGCCAUCAAAUAAAUCUUAAAAAAAAAAAAAACCCA
This 1382-nucleotide long non-coding RNA is filed under the name Oryctolagus cuniculus (rabbit). Its description in RNAcentral is "lncRNA (ENSOCUG00000032838.1)". The record is from RNAcentral. Lineage: Eukaryota; Metazoa; Chordata; Mammalia; Lagomorpha; Leporidae.